Molecule: ribosomal RNA, 460 nt
Filed under: uncultured bacterium
Lineage: Bacteria
Description: partial 16S ribosomal RNA
Rfam family: Bacterial small subunit ribosomal RNA
Source: RNAcentral
CCUACGGGAGGCAGCAGUGAGGAAUAUUGGUCAAUGGGCGUAAGCCUGAACCAGCCAAGUCGCGUGAGGGAUGAAGGUCCUAUGGAUCGUAAACCUCUUUUAUAAGGGAAUAAAGUGUGGGACGUGUCCUAUUUUGUAUGUACCUUAUGAAUAAGGAUCGGCUAACUCCGUGCCAGCAGCCGCGGUAAUACGGAGGAUCCGAGCGUUAUCCGGAUUUAUUGGGUUUAAAGGGUGCGUAGGCGGCCUGUUAAGUCAGCGGUGAAAGUCUGUGGCUCAACCAUAGAAUUGCCGUUGAUACUGGGAGGCUUGAGUAUGUUUGAGGCAGGCGGAAUGCGUGGUGUAGCGGUGAAAUGCUUAGAUAUCACGCAGAACCCCGAUUGCGAAGGCAGCUUGCCAAGCCGUGACUGACGCUGAUGCACGAAAGCGUGGGGAUCAAACAGGAUUAGAUACCCUAGUAGUC